GAGGGUAUAGCUCAGUGGUAGAGUGUGUGCUUAGCAUGCACGAGGUCUUGGGUUCAAUCCCCAGUACCUCCA
This 72-nucleotide transfer RNA is filed under the name Camelus bactrianus (Bactrian camel). It matches the Rfam family "tRNA". Rfam says of the family: Transfer RNA (tRNA) molecules are approximately 80 nucleotides in length. Their secondary structure includes four short double-helical elements and three loops (D, anti-codon, and T loops). RNAcentral also lists the same sequence under 2 other names. Lineage: Eukaryota; Metazoa; Chordata; Mammalia; Artiodactyla; Camelidae. The record is from Rfam by way of RNAcentral.